UCCCCAAUAGUUCAGUCGGUAGAACACCGGACUGUUAAUCCGUAUGUCCCUGGUUCGAGUCCAGGUUGGGGAGCCA
Molecule: transfer RNA, 76 nt
Filed under: Gammaproteobacteria bacterium
Lineage: Bacteria; Pseudomonadati; Pseudomonadota; Gammaproteobacteria
Description: tRNA-Asn
Rfam family: tRNA
About the family: Transfer RNA (tRNA) molecules are approximately 80 nucleotides in length.
Source: RNAcentral